UACAGAGGAGCCAAGCGUUGUCCGGAUUGACUGGGCGUAAAGCGCACGUAGGCGGCUUUGUAAGUUAGAGGUGAAAGCCCGGGGCUCAACCCCGGAAUUGCCUUUAAGACUGCAUCGCUUGAACGUCGGAGAGGUGAGUGGAAUUCCGAGUGUAGAGGUGAAAUUCGUAGAUAUUCGGAAGAACACCAGUGGCGAAGGCGGCUCACUGGACGACUGUUGACGCUGAGGUGCGAAAGCGUGGGGAGCAAACAGG
This 253-nucleotide ribosomal RNA is filed under the name uncultured bacterium. RNAcentral describes it as "partial 16S ribosomal RNA". It matches the Rfam family "Bacterial small subunit ribosomal RNA", at positions 524 to 776 of the family's 1533-position model. The record is from RNAcentral.